CGAUAACGAACGAGACCUUAACCUGCUAAGUAGAGAUGCGAACCUGCGUUCGUAAGCUCUUCUUAGAGGGACUGACUACGUUUAGUGGUCGGAAGUUUGAGGCAAUAACAGGUCUGUGAUGCCCUUAGAUGUUCUGGGCUGCACGCGCGCUACACUGACAGAGGCAACGAGUAUACAACCUUGACCGGAAGGUCUGGGCAAUCUUUUUAAACUCUGUCGUGCUGGGGAUAGAGCAUUGCAAUUAUUGCUCUUCAACGAGGAAUUCCUAGUAAGCGCAUGUCAUCAGCAUGCGUUGAUUACGUCCCUGCCCUUUGUACACACCGCCCGUCGCUACUACCGAUUGAAUGGCU
RNAcentral lists this ribosomal RNA (350 nucleotides) under uncultured eukaryote. RNAcentral's name for it is "SSU rRNA". It matches the Rfam family "Eukaryotic small subunit ribosomal RNA", at positions 1326 to 1698 of the family's 1831-position model. The record is from RNAcentral.